Long non-coding RNA from Lathyrus oleraceus (garden pea), 1601 nucleotides. RefSeq lists it as uncharacterized. The record is from RefSeq and is a predicted model, not a curated record. NCBI's taxonomy places the organism in Eukaryota, Viridiplantae, Streptophyta, Magnoliopsida, Fabales, Fabaceae. The transcript is spliced from 3 exons.
UCCAAGAUGAGUUCAAAUUCCAAUCGGAUCACCGAAUCCAUGGCCAUGUCACUACAGAGAGAUUCCAAGGUUAACAACGCUCAGCACGAACAUCCCUAAGAAAUUUAACUCCACCUUCUUCCGGAAUUCGAACAAUCGUCCAGAACGCGACCUUGCGUUAGCUUCAAAACGAAAAAUACGAAAAACUCACGUUAAAGAUUGAAACAACAAACUCACCUUCGGUGGCCGUUCAAAUCAACAUGAAUCUGAAAUCGUCUUCUCCGAUCUGUUUUGUCGUCGAUGACGCGUUGGAUGAACAAUGACGAUGAUGCUCCGAUUCGAAAUGUCGACGCAAGGUUAUGAUCAUCUCCUUUGGUUAUGCUCCGUCGUCAUCAUCCGUCGAUUCUGUUACGGCGUCGUCGCUUUGACGUCGCGUGGUACGCGUGUUACGAGUCGCUAUUGCUGAUGGAUUGCGUUGUGGCGUUGCAGUGAAGAGGGAAAGGCGUUGGAUCCUUUCUUUGAAGAGGGAAGGUAAUCGCUUCUGAGUUCCGUCGAAUCUCGAUCGAUGAAGACCUUUCCCCGAAACCGUUGGCGGCUUUUUAUGUGGACCUCAUUCAGAGCAGAUGGUGGAAGCUGGUGGUUAUUGGGAGAAGUUGGAGGGUUCCGCGGCGGGUUGCAGGGUGGAGGUGAAGGGAGGUUUGGUGGAUGUGAUUGAGAGGUUGAAGAAGUUGAUGAAGUGAAGUCAGCGUCAGUUCUGGGGUGCAAUGGAGAUGGAAAAAGAAAAAAAAAUGGGUGAAGAAACCAGUUCAGUUCUAUAGAGGUUGUUGAAGUUGUGGAGGUUAUGGAAAACUGUGGAUUCAGUUAGGAAUUAGUUAGAUUCAAUGACAGUUGGCGACAGUUGGCGACAAUUGGAAUUGAUUAGGCGGUUAGGACGGUUGAAGACAGUUGGAAUUCGGUUCGAGUUGGUUUCGACAGUUGCUGUUAAUCGUGGGCAGUUAUGGCACUUGGCAGGCUAACGGUUUACGGUCUUUGUUAUGGAGCUAUGGUCGGCAUGUUGUAAGGCUUGCAUUGGAUUAGAUUAUGUUGGAGGUGAUGAAAGCAUAAGUUUAAACUGAGUUAUGGUGAGGGAAGUUAGAAGCAGUUUUGAAAUUGUUAUUAUUUUUUUUCAUGAAAUUUGCAGGUCAAAUGGGUUUGUUUGAAGUGUACGAUCCUUCCAACUGCAUGAAUGAGUCCACAAUGGGAGGUGCGACAAUGACAGUUGGUUCACCCAAGUUAAGCAAAUCUUGAGGAGAUUAUUCAUUGGGUACACUUGCCACACUAGCUCUCAAAACCUUGCUGCCGGCCGAUGUUCCUUUUUUUAUGCUAUUAUUUGGAAUGCAUGGCCUGCAUGGAACGCAUGUUUUUAUGUAUGGAAAUAAUUGGAUUUGAAAUGUAUGAAUUGGUAUGGAUUAGUGUGUUUUUUGGGCUUUUGUUGUAAUUUUUAUGCAUUGAAUGUGUAAUGUAGGUAACUGAAUUAGUAAUGUGAGGCAUCAGUGUAAUGUUUAAAUUGGAAUUGAAUACAUGUGAUUUUGGAAAUUGGCUUAUGUAAUGAAAGUGUAGUUUUGCAACUAAUGGUUGAAAUA